Molecule: ribosomal RNA, 272 nt
Filed under: uncultured bacterium
Lineage: Bacteria
Description: partial 16S ribosomal RNA
Rfam family: Bacterial small subunit ribosomal RNA
Source: RNAcentral
GAUGAACGCUGGCGGCGUGCCUAACACAUGCAAGUCGAACGGGGGUGACAUUUCGGUGUGACUCCAGUGGCGCACGGGUGAGUAACACGUAGCUGACCUAUCCUGGGAGGGGGGGACAACCCCGGGAAACCGGGGCUAAACCCGCCUAAGCUCGCGGUCAUUAGAGGACUGGGAGAAAACGUGCAUGCACGACUUCAGGGAGGGGGCUGCGGCCCAUCAGGUAGUUGGUGGGGUAAGCGCCUACCAAGCCGACGGACGGGUAGGGGGUCUGA